This 513-nucleotide ribosomal RNA is filed under the name uncultured bacterium. RNAcentral describes it as "partial 16S ribosomal RNA". It matches the Rfam family "Bacterial small subunit ribosomal RNA", at positions 28 to 507 of the family's 1533-position model. The record is from RNAcentral.
GACGAACGCUGGCGGCGUGCUUAACACAUGCAAGUCGAACGAGAGCGUAGAGAAAGCUUGCUUUUUCUACAAUCUAGUGGCAAACGGGUGAGUAACGCGUAAACAACCUGCCCUACGGAUGGGGACAACAGCUGGAAACGGCUGCUAAUACCGAAUACGUUCCGAAAGUCGCAUGACUAUCGGAAGAAAGGAUGGCCUCUAUUUAUAAGCUAUCGCCGGAGGAGGGGUUUGCGUCUGAUUAGCUAGUUGGAGGGGUAACGGCCCACCAAGGCGACGAUCAGUAGCCGGUCUGAGGGGAUGAACGGCCACAUUGGAACUGAGACACGGUCCAGACUCCUACGGGAGGCAGCAGUGGGGAAUCUUCCGCAAUGGGCGAAAGCCUGACGGAGCAACGCCGCGUGAGUGAAGACGGCCUUCGGGUUGUAAAGCUCUGUUAUACGGGACGAAUAAUCUUGUGGUUAAUACCCAUGAGAAGUGACGGUACCGUAAGAGAAAGCCACGGCUAACUACGUG